AACGAACGCUGGCGGCGUGCCUUACACAUGCAAGUCGAACGAGAAAGCUCCUUCGGGAGUGAGUAGAGUGGCGCACGGGUGAGUAACACGUGGGUAAACUACCAUCAGGUCUGGGAUAACUCGGGGAAACUCGGGCUAAUACCGGAUGAGACCACGAACUAUAAGGUUUGUGGGAAAAGCGGGGGACCUCUUCGGAGGCCUCGCGCCAGUUGAUGUGCCCGCGGUCCAUCAGCUUGUUGGCGGGGUAACGGCCCACCAAGGCUAAGACGGAUAGCUGGUCUGAGAGGAUGAUCAGCCACACUGGAACUGAGACACGGUCCAG
Molecule: ribosomal RNA, 322 nt
Filed under: uncultured bacterium
Lineage: Bacteria
Description: bacterial SSU rRNA
Rfam family: Bacterial small subunit ribosomal RNA
Source: RNAcentral